Molecule: ribosomal RNA, 757 nt
Filed under: bacterium GD135LO50%
Lineage: Bacteria
Description: bacterial SSU rRNA
Rfam family: Bacterial small subunit ribosomal RNA
Source: RNAcentral
AGCCCAGCUUGCUGGGUGGAUUAGUGGCGAACGGGUGAGUAACACGUGAGUAACCUGCCCUUAACUCUGGGAUAAGCCUGGGAAACUGGGUCUAAUACCGGAUAGGAGCGUCCACCGCAUGGUGGGUGUUGGAAAGAUUUAUCGGUUUUGGAUGGACUCGCGGCCUAUCAGCUUGUUGGUGAGGUAAUGGCUCACCAAGGCGACGACGGGUAGCCGGCCUGAGAGGGUGACCGGCCACACUGGGACUGAGACACGGCCCAGACUCCUACGGGAGGCAGCAGUGGGGAAUAUUGCACAAUGGGCGCAAGCCUGAUGCAGCGACGCCGCGUGAGGGAUGACGGCCUUCGGGUUGUAAACCUCUUUCAGUAGGGAAGAAGCGAAAGUGACGGUACCUGCAGAAGAAGCACCGGCUAACUACGUGCCAGCAGCCGCGGUAAUACGUAGGGUGCGAGCGUUAUCCGGAAUUAUUGGGCGUAAAGAGCUCGUAGGCGGUUUGUCGCGUCUGUCGUGAAAGUCCGGGGCUUAACCCCGGAUCUGCGGUGGGUACGGGCAGACUAGAGUGCAGUAGGGGAGACUGGAAUUCCUGGUGUAGCGGUGGAAUGCGCAGAUAUCAUGAGGAACACCGAUGGCGAAGGCAGGUCUCUGGGCUGUAACUUGACGCUGAAGAGCGAAAGCAUGGGGAGCGAACCGGAUUACAUACCCUGGUAUUCCAUGCCGUAAACGUUGGGCACUAUGUGUGGGGACCAUUCCACGGUUU